AUUUGUUUUUUAAAAAAAGGGAGAGAGAACAGAUUGUGCCGCAGCCAAAAAAAAAAAAAAGGGUGUCAUCUUCUUCAAAAUGGCAAAAAAAAACUAAAACCCGAAGCUUCGUCCAAACGACCACCUCCCUUCGUCGUUGCCUAGUCCUCACGAGCCAGCUCCUGACGACAACCAAACGAACCGCAUCUGAUUCUGCUUCGACAGCCCAGCGAGCAUCAACCCGUCGUCCAGUGCACCAUCGCUGCUCCUGCUUCAUCUGUCCGUCGACCACCUAAUAUCCAUCACAACCAAUCGUAAAACCAGCUCUAGGUAUGCGAAAAACAGUAGCUCAAACCCCGUCGUGCUUCGUCUUCCUCACGUGAAUCAGUCCGGCAACCCUCCAUUAAAACCAGCGACCUUCACUUUGUCUCAAAACAACCCGUCCUUGUCCUUAUCAAAUCUGUUCGAGGUUCGUUGCAGUCGAAUCUGAGUUCGAUGCGUCGUUCGAGUAUUCUGUCCGCAUUUUCUUCUCGAAUUUCAUUGCUGUUCAUUUCGAUUUUUGUCAUCGAACUUCACUCAUAGUUUGUAUUCAGGCAAAGCUAAUACAGGUUCGUGCUAUUCAGGUUCAUCUUUCUAUAUUUUUUUUUACUCUUGUUUGGUGCUGGUUUUACAUUCUAUAUAUAUAUAUAUAUAUUGUGUGUUAGGAUGAGUGACUUUGUUGCUCACAGUUCAUGGGGCCAAAACCGAAGACUAUAGUUUUUGGUAAUAUUGUUUUUUUUUUUGUUUUUUUUAUAUUUGUAUUUACAUUUUGUUGGAAAAGUGUUCAAUUUUAUAUGAAGUUUAUGGGGUGGUUAAGUUGAUUUUUAAGGCUUAUGUUAAUUGCUAUUACGUGAAUGGAUUCUCUGUUGCGUAGUUGAAUUUGUGAAAAAAAUUUUGCUUGUUAAAAUUGUGUUAUUGAAUCUGAAAAUUUUCAAGUGUGUUGUGUAUGGUGUUAAGGAUCAUAUUAAAUCUCUUGGGACACUAUUUGUUCAGAGAUAACAAGUCAUGCAGUUGUCGUGAUUACGGAUACAGUUCCAUAUUGUAGUUAUGAUUUGUAAUUCUCAAAAUUCAGGGGUGCAUUUCAUGUAACCCGAUUAUAACGACUCCGGUUAAUUUCAGUGAAUAAAUUAGUGUUUUUUUUAGAGACAAGUAAAGUAGAGAAUCAUAGUUGCUUCUAGGUUUGCCCUAUCAAAAAACACAUGAGGUGAGCCUCGUCGAUUAACACACAAAUUACGGGGCCCUCGUUAAUUAUAUAUAUUAAAAAUACUUAGACUUCAGGACGGGCCGUUUAGCAAAUUACAUGGCCUUACCCAAAAUAAUUAUACGCUAGUCGUUGUAGGCGCGCAUUUAAUAAUUUUACAUCCCUAAACUCGGGUGUGCAUUUCUUGCAACCCAAAUCCAAAUUCCAAAACAUCGACUCAGGUAUGUUCAUGAUUGCGGGUUCAUUUCAUGCGGCACAAUCCAAAGACAUAGUUCAGACGAUAUUCAAUCUUCUUUAAUAAUUUGAAUAAAAGCGGUUAAAAGUUAAAAUUGGCACAUAAGUUACACAUGCAAUAAAAUCGGUUAAAUAAGCUAAAUACGACAGUUGGGCGACCGUGCUAGAACCACGGAACUCGAGAAUGCCUAACACCUUCUCCCGAGUUAACAGAAUUCCUUAUCCGGAUUUCUGGUGCGCAGAAUGUUAAAUAGAGCCAUUCUUUUCCUUGAUUCGGGAUUAAAAUAGGUAACUUGGGACACCAUAAAUCUCCCAAGUGGCGACUCUGAAUCUUUAACAAAUAAUCCCGUUUCGAUUGUCCUUUAAUUGGAAAAAUUCCCUUGCGCCCUCGCGGGACGGCAAAAAGGAGAUAUGACAACUGUCUACUCACUCUGUGCUAAUACUAUAUGCUAUUUCUUCGUGGCAUAGCUUGGCCUCACAUUACUUGUGCACUUCAUUUAUAUCUAGAGUCCCUUCUGUGAUUGGUUUUCAAACUCGUGAUUGAUUUUCAAAACUUUUCCUUCAUGAAUUCUGAUUUUACUCGCUUGUUAAGGGGUAAUUAAUUCUCUCUCUUUGUUUGGCCUUACCAUAUCCUUUCCAAAAAUAAGUACAUUCCUGUACUUGGACUUAAUCACUUACUAUAUGGUUUUACUGCUUCUUUACAAUCAUUCUGCUUACAAAUUAAUGUUCUUUCCUUAUAUUAAUCCUGUUAGUAUCCAUUUGAGCUGUAAUCCUUUAAGUAAAGGGAAAUACGUUUGUUAAUUGAUUUUGAUUGUGAUUAUUUUCAUGUUUCUAUUAAAACCUUACUUGUUACCCUAUUCUCUACUCAUUUUCUAAAUUAUAACAACAUGUACCUCUUCUCUUUCAAAAACAAGUUCUAAUAGAACAAGUCACUACUUCUUCUCUCAAAUACACUUAGAAUUUCUUAAGCAUUCGAGUUUUCUGAACUCACAAGUUUAAAGUUCUCUUCUCUGAUUGUGGUUUGGCUGAAAGAAAUCCUGCAUUUUCUUUUCUUACUUUUCCUGCAACUGGUAUGUCUCUCUUUGUUUAAUUUCUGCCUCUCCACUACAUGUUUAUUUUUCAGCCUUUCCUUUGCUUGUUUUAUUGUUUCGAUGUUGUAAUUGGUGCAAGUUUACUUACUUCUUUAUCUCUGUGCUAACAUGAAUCCCUACCCCCCCAAUUUCCUUUGUAUCUUGAGUUAUGGUUAUGAAAGCAUGAUAAUACUUGACAUUGUUGCUUAUAUGUAUGACUGGACUCCCUAAGUGCUAAACACUUUUCAAUUCUCAUUCCCCUUCCCAUUUACAUGUAUUCUGAGUUUAAGACUAUGGUCUAGCAGUGUCCUAAUCAUUAUCUAGACCAUAGCUUGACCUUCAACAGGUCUGUGCUCAUAUUUUUUGGCUAAACAGGCUUGGUCAGGGGUGUGCCAGCCUACCUUAUGCCUAGGCAUGACCAUCAUCCUGUCUUGGCACUCCUUAACCCCUCUUUAUUGCACUGGAACUCACUCUUAGAACAUAACUUCUGGGCCCCUCUUGUGAGCCUUGCUUUGGGAUCCAUGAGCUGCCUCUAAACUUGGAUACUUGAAGGAUGGCUCUUCCACAAUGCACUAUAACUCAUUAUAAUUAACAUCUUGGGUGUAAGCACUGCCUGGAGUUCCUGAAACUCUUUGGAUCUCUGAAACACCCUAGAUAAGAGAAGGCUUUGAAAAUAUUUAUCUCGGAAGUGGUUCAAUCUCAUAUUUUUAGACACUAAGUCUGAAUUGGGCUUCUCGUAUGUAGCUGAUGGCUUUCAGAUGUACUUUUAAUUUCAGUUUAUGUUACUGGUUUGUAAUAAUUUGUAUAAACUCAUGGAGAUUUAGUGAAAGAAGGGAGGGGGUUAAUUGUACGCAAAAAGGGUAGAGACCAUGCCUACAGGAUUUAGUUUAUGAUAUGUGCAACUUCACACAUAGAAAGCAUAUCUAUUGGGAUUAACUUCUAAAUUUUCUGCGAUUAUGCUUGUAGAUAUCAUGCUUAUAAGAGUUUACAUUUUUCACAUAAUGGUGCCAUUAGGAAAACUGUAGACGUAACAACAAAGUUGCAUAUAGUUACCAUGUUUGUAAGACUCCUGUUAAAAGUGUUAAAAUCAGUUAACGCAUAGAAAGCAUGACUAUAGUAACUUCGAAUCUAAUCCGUCUCAUUUAUUCAAAAU
Molecule: long non-coding RNA, 3676 nt
Filed under: Nicotiana benthamiana
Lineage: Eukaryota; Viridiplantae; Streptophyta; Magnoliopsida; Solanales; Solanaceae
Description: long non-coding RNA (NBEN_LNC005376)
Source: RNAcentral